This is a non-coding RNA of Tetranychus urticae (two-spotted spider mite), 1436 nucleotides long. The record is from RefSeq and is a predicted model, not a curated record. NCBI's taxonomy places the organism in Eukaryota, Metazoa, Arthropoda, Arachnida, Trombidiformes, Tetranychidae.
ACUUCAGUAAGUCCAAGCUUUCACGAUAUUUUUGGAGGUAACCAUCUCUUUGAUAAAUACUUACCUCUUACUGUUAUAUUUUAUUAUAUUAAUAUUUUUAUUUUAAUUUAAGAGAAAGAGCAAAAUGAAAGAGAAAAAAUACCUGUAAGAGGAAAUUGUUAAUUAUUCCAAGAGAUGGAGUUCCUCCGAAAUAUCGAUAAAGUGAAACUUACUGAAUUGAAAUCAAUCAAGAUUCAGUAAAACAAUCCGAUUUGAGCUGUUGUUAGUGACAAAUGUCCAAUUGAUGAUUACCAGACAUUUAAUACUGAUUUGGAAAGCUAUUUUUAUCACAAAUCAAUGGAAAUGAACUGCUCCUUAAAGAUCAGGAUUCCCAAAGUUUCAAGGAUCAAGCUACUAAUGACAAUUUAUGGCAAAAACAAUACUAAUUACGUUUUUACCUUUACAAAGUUAAAGAUGGAUCCAUACAGUCGAGUACCUGAAAUUGUCUAAUGUUUCAGACACAUAAUUUGAAAAUACUAAUUUCCUAUCAAAUUAACUGUUGAUUAAUUUUUAGAUCGCCUCCUACUCAAAGUGUAGUUUUUGGCUGACUUUAGGAAUUCAGAAAAUGAAAAAUUAACACUGAAAUGGAUUGUUAUUUAAUUUUUUGAGCUAAAUUGCAAGAUUAUUUCAAUCGAUACGAGAUGAAAACUAGUGAAUGGACAAUUUUAGGUAAUGACAAUUUCAGGGACUCGAUUGUAUUACGUUUUAAUAUUUAUAAAGCAAGACUGUUGAGACUACCUUGAAAGUGUAUUGAGUUAUUAUUUAUUUCUGUGUGAAAUAAAUGAAAUGAUUUUGAUUAGAAGAGAGAAAGAGUUAAAGAAAGAAGAUGAUAACCUUGGUGUGUUAGUGACUAUCGAUUAGUUGUAUGUUCAAAGUUGCACUGUACAUACGCACUUGGUAUAUAUUGAGAUUUGCUUCUACCUUCACUUGCCUUGUGUGUUACAUGAAAGGAUUGUGAAGGAUAAAUGAGAAGCAAAUUGAACUUCUAUGAACCUUGUGAACCAUAAUGUUGUCCCUGAAAACGCUUCCUAUGAACCAGUUUCAUUGGAAAUAUCAGAUAAUUGACCUUGACUUUUAUUCUUUCCAUUCAUUUCAGGGUCACUUUAACCCUGAAACACGAUUCUAUGGCAAUGGAAGCAUCAAGCUCAUGCUCAACUCUUUUCUUCCAUGGUCAUGAACAAAGUAAAGAAACAUUCAAGCCAAAGACUUUACCGUUGCGGAAACGUUUCUAACAGUUGAUGAAACUAUGAAAUGCUAAUGAUUCAUUUUGAUUAUGUUUAGUUUCAUUGUUUUCAAUUUUGAUAUUCAUUUGAUGCCUACUCACUCGGCUAAUUUCAAUGUAAUUCAAUCAAUGGAAAGUUGAGAAAUUAAAGUAUCGUCUGAAAUUGAUAAAGAAA